CCUACGGGAGGCAGCAGUGGGGAAUAUUGCACAAUGGGGGAAACCCUGAUGCAGCGACGCCGCGUGAGUGAAGAAGUAUUUCGGUAUGUAAAGCUCUGUCAGCAGGGAAGAAAAUGACGGUACCUGACCAAUAAGCCCCGGCUAACUACGUUCCAGCAGCCGCGGUAAUACGUAGGGGGCAAGCGUUAUCCGGAUUUACUGGGUGUAAAGGGAGCUUAGACGGGAGGGCAAGUCUGGAGUGAAAGGCGGGGGCUCAACCCACGGACUGCUAUGGAAACUGUCAGGGUGGAGUGCAGGAGAGGUAAGUGGAAUUCCUAGUGUAGCGGUGAAAUGCGUAGAUAUUAGGAGGAACACCAGUGGCGAAGGCGGCUUACUGGACUGUAACUGACGUUGAGGCUCGAAAGCGUGGGGAGCAAACAGGAUUAGAUACCCGAGUAGUC
Molecule: ribosomal RNA, 440 nt
Filed under: uncultured bacterium
Lineage: Bacteria
Description: partial 16S ribosomal RNA
Rfam family: Bacterial small subunit ribosomal RNA
Source: RNAcentral